Molecule: non-coding RNA, 1358 nt
Organism: Misgurnus anguillicaudatus (oriental weatherfish)
Lineage: Eukaryota; Metazoa; Chordata; Actinopteri; Cypriniformes; Cobitidae
Source: RefSeq, a predicted model, not a curated record
CACUUUCAUCAUAAUAUUUAUAAACACACUUAAGUGCACUUUUAAAAAUGCACUUUGUAUUAAUGUCUAAUUAAGCUUAACUUAAAGAAAGUACACUUUCAACAUAAUAUUUAUAAACACACUUAAGUGCACUUUUAAAAAUGCACUUUUUAAUACUGUCUAAUUAAGCUUAACUUAUAGUAAGUACACUUUCAUCACAAUAUUUCUUAACAUACUUAAGUACACUUUUUAAAAUUGCACUUUGUCUAAUUUAGUUUUACUUAAAUGUAACCCUGGUUAAAUAAUUAAAUAUUAUUAUUUUAAAAGUGUGCUUAAAAAUAAUAGAGACUAUUCAUACAUCUACAUUUAUUUUAUAAAUGAGGAAAUACAUGUGAAUAAUUCAAUCUGAAUUAUAAAUCUGAAAUGAGUAAACCAAUCGGAGUGUUUAAUUGUAAGCUCCGCCCCUUUUUUGCUUUCGGAUCGCGUCUCAGUUCAGAGGAGAGAUGCAGAGCGACAGAGACACUCGAUCUAACCCGAGAGGGUUUAAUUUGAUUAAAUAUGACUCCUAAGUUCAUAUAAACUGAAGAAAUCAGAAUUUAACUUGCAUAUAUUCAAUGAUACAGCGUGAUUGUGUGGGUUGAGCACUUUUUGAGCUUUCAUUUUGACCUGUGUGAUUAUGUAAAACCACAUGGUGCGUUGUGUUCACUGCUGUUCGCUGACGCCAUUUUGGUUGCACGUGCCUGUGAAAGACAAAAAGAGAGAGAAACACGUGAAUGGACAGGUAUUUGUCUAAAUUGUCAUUUAUUAUGAUGAUGGCACUUAUGUAUGUAUUUUAUUUGUUUCCUGUAUUGUGUACAAUUGUUCAUCAUUAUUGAUACACAAUAUUGAAUGUUUUUUCCUUUCGUACUAUGAACAUUACUUGAGCUGGAUUUUCCUAAUUGAUGGCGAGCCUCCCAUUUCGACCUGAUUGGAUCACGAAUCUAGAGGAAAGGACAAAUUUCUAUUUUAAAUAUUUUUCUUCAGACAAGUAAGAGGAUACAUUUCAGAAACUGUUGUUUCCUUAUUUUGUUUGUUUACUUCAUUGAACUGAAACAUUUCAGAAGCACAAUUCUGAUAAUUUAAGACUGAUCAAUACUCCAAUUGAUAAGAACUUUGAACUUGAAUACGGAUUUCAGUGUGUUACAUAUAUAAUUUGUACCAUCUUUGUACAUUGAUUGUGACUGUGAUUUCUGUAAAUGAGAAGUAAUUUAGAGGGUGCAGCCAUAGUAUAUAUAUAGUUAAUUGUAUUUUCAUUGUUGUUUACUAUUUUUUUGUGAUUUAAGGAAAGAAAAUGAAAGGUUUCUCAAUACUCAAAGUAAAAUAAUUUAUUAAUCAACUUA